GAUGAACGCUGGCGGCGUGCCUAAUACAUGCAAGUCGAGCGAACGGACGAGAAGCUUGCUUCUCUGAUGUUAGCGGCGGACGGGUGAGUAACACGUGGAUAACCUACCUAUAAGACUGGGAUAACUUCGGGAAACCGGAACUAAUACCGGAUGAUAUUUUGAACCGCAUGGUUCAAAAGUGAAAGACGGUCUUGCUGUCACUUAUAGAUGGAUCCGCGCUGCAUUAGCUAGUUGGUAAGGUAACGGCUUACCAAGGCAACGAUGCAUAGCCGACCUGAGAGGGGGAUAGGCCACACUGGAACUGAGACACGGUCCAGACUCCUACGGGAGGCAGCAGUAGGGAAUCUGCCGCAAUGGGCGAAAGCCUGACGGAGCAACGCCGCGUGAGUGAUGAAGGUCUUCGGAUCGUAAAACUCUGUUAUUAGGGAAGAACAUAUGUGUAAGUAACUGUGCACAUCUUGACGGUACCUAAUCAGAAAGCCACGGCUAACUACGUG
RNAcentral lists this ribosomal RNA (497 nucleotides) under uncultured bacterium. RNAcentral describes it as "partial 16S ribosomal RNA". It matches the Rfam family "Bacterial small subunit ribosomal RNA", at positions 28 to 507 of the family's 1533-position model. The record is from RNAcentral.